Molecule: transfer RNA, 83 nt
Filed under: Canis lupus familiaris (dog)
Lineage: Eukaryota; Metazoa; Chordata; Mammalia; Carnivora; Canidae
Also listed under: 1 other name
Rfam family: tRNA
About the family: Transfer RNA (tRNA) molecules are approximately 80 nucleotides in length. Their secondary structure includes four short double-helical elements and three loops (D, anti-codon, and T loops). Further hydrogen bonds mediate the characteristic L-shaped molecular structure. tRNAs have two regions of fundamental functional importance: the anti-codon, which is responsible for specific mRNA codon recognition, and the 3' end, to which the tRNAs corresponding amino acid is attached (by aminoacyl-tRNA synthetases). tRNAs cope with the degeneracy of the genetic code in two manners: having more than one tRNA (with a specific anti-codon) for a particular amino acid; and 'wobble' base-pairing, i.e. permitting non-standard base-pairing at the 3rd anti-codon position.
Source: Rfam by way of RNAcentral
GCCUGGGUGGCUCAGUGGUUGAGUGUCUGUCUUCAGCUCAGGGCCUGAUCCCAGGUUCCUGGGAUCAAAUCCCACAUCAGGCU